This 285-nucleotide ribosomal RNA is filed under the name Oligochaeta sp. US_F6. RNAcentral's name for it is "partial large subunit ribosomal RNA". It matches the Rfam family "Eukaryotic large subunit ribosomal RNA", at positions 690 to 940 of the family's 3401-position model. Lineage: Eukaryota; Metazoa; Annelida; Clitellata. The record is from RNAcentral.
GUCGCAUGGCUCUACGAAACCCGAAGGCGCAAUGAAAGUGAAGGCCUUCCCCGCGGUUGGCCUAGGUAGGAUCCCGAGUCGAGAAACCGACGAGGGCGCCCUACCGGCCCGUCUCUCCCGCAACGUCGGAGAGGCGGAGCGAGAGCGUACACGUUGGGACCCGAAAGAUGGUGAACUAUGCCUGAGUAAGACGAACCCAGAAGAAACUCUGGUGGAGGUCCGCAGCGAUUCUGACGUGCAAAUCGAUCGUCAAACUUGGGUAUAGGGGCGAAAGACCAAUCGAAA